GUGGGGAAUAUUGGACAAUGGGCGCAAGCCUGAUCCAGCCAUGCCGCGUGAGUGAUGAAGGCCUUAGGGUUGUAAAGCUCUUUCGACGGGGACGAUGAUGACGGUACCCGUAGAAGAAGCCCCGGCUAACUUCGUGCCAGCAGCCGCGGUAAUACGAAGGGGGCUAGCGUUGUUCGGAAUUACUGGGCGUAAAGCGCACGCAGGCGGUUCGAUCAGUCAGAAGUGAAAGCCCCGGGCUUAACCUGGGAACUGCUUUUGAUACUGUCGAGCUUGAAUCACGGAGAGGGUAGUGGAAUUCCGAGUGUAGAGGUGAAAUUCGUAGAUAUUCGGAAGAACACCAGUGGCGAAGGCGACUACCUGGCCGUCGAUUGACGCUCAUGUGCGAAAGCGUGGGGAGCAAACAGGAUUAGAUACCCCUGUAGUCC
Molecule: ribosomal RNA, 425 nt
Filed under: uncultured Magnetospirillum sp.
Lineage: Bacteria; Pseudomonadati; Pseudomonadota; Alphaproteobacteria; Rhodospirillales; Rhodospirillaceae
Description: bacterial SSU rRNA
Rfam family: Bacterial small subunit ribosomal RNA
Source: RNAcentral